Molecule: ribosomal RNA, 478 nt
Filed under: uncultured bacterium
Lineage: Bacteria
Description: partial 16S ribosomal RNA
Rfam family: Bacterial small subunit ribosomal RNA
Source: RNAcentral
GACGAACGCUGGCGGCGUGCUUAACACAUGCAAGUCGAACGGUAAGGCCCUUCGGGGUACACGAGUGGCGAACGGGUGAGUAACACGUGGGUGAUCUGCCCUGCACUUCGGGAUAAGCCUGGGAAACUGGGUCUAAUACCGGAUAGGACCACUGCCUGCAUGGGUGGUGGUGGAAAGCUUUUGCGGUGUGGGAUGGGCCCGCGGCCUAUCAGCUUGUUGGUAGGGUGAUGGCCUACCAAGGCGACGACGGGUAGCCGGCCUGAGAGGGUGAGCGGCCACACUGGGAGUGGGAUACGGCCCGGAGGCCUGCGGGAGGCAGCAGGGGGGAAUAUUGGACAAUGGGCGCAAGCCUGAUGCAGCGACGCCGCGUGAGGGAGGACGGCCUUCGGGUUGUAAACCUCUUUCAGCACCGACGAGGCGCAAGUGACGGUAGGUGCAGAAGAAGGACCGGCCAACUACGUGCCAGCAGCAGCCGCCG